CAGCCGCCGCGGUAACACGGAGGGUGCAAGCGUUAAUCGGAAUUACUGGGCGUAAAGCGUGCGCAGGCGGUCCGCUAAGACAGAUGUGAAAUCCCCGGGCUUAACCUGGGAGCUGCAUUUGUGACUGGCGGGCUAGAGUAUGGCAGAGGGGGGUAGAAUUCCACGUGUAGCAGUGAAAUGCGUAGAGAUGUGGAGGAAUACCGAUGGCGAAGGCAGCCCCCUGGGCCAAUACUGACGCUCAUGCACGAAAGCGUGGGGAGCAAACAGGAUUAGAUACCCGAGUAGUCCCUGUCUCUUAUAC
Molecule: ribosomal RNA, 301 nt
Filed under: uncultured bacterium
Lineage: Bacteria
Description: partial 16S ribosomal RNA
Rfam family: Bacterial small subunit ribosomal RNA
Source: RNAcentral